RNAcentral lists this ribosomal RNA (348 nucleotides) under uncultured microorganism. Its description in RNAcentral is "bacterial SSU rRNA". It matches the Rfam family "Bacterial small subunit ribosomal RNA", at positions 9 to 355 of the family's 1533-position model. The record is from RNAcentral.
GAGUUUGAUCGUGGCUCAGAUUGAACGCUGGCGGCAUGCCUUACACAUGCAAGUCGAACGGCAGCAUGAUCUAGCUUGCUAGAUUGAUGGCGAGUGGCGAACGGGUGAGUAAUACAUCGGAACAUGCCCUGUAGUGGGGGAUAACUAGUCGAAAGAUUAGCUAAUACCGCAUACGACCUGAGGGUGAAAGUGGGGGACCGCAAGGCCUCAUGCUAUAGGAGCGGCCGAUGUCUGAUUAGCUAGUUGGUGGGUAAAGGCCACCAAGGCGACGAUCAGUAGCUGGUCUGAGAGGACGAUCAGCCACACUGGGACUGAGACACGGCCCAGACUCCUACGGGAGGCAGCAGU